UGCGCAGGCGGUUGAGUAAGACAGAUGUGAAAUCCCCGAGCUUAACUCGGGAAUGGCAUAUGUGACUGCUCGACUAGAGUGUGUCAGAGGGAGGUGGAAUUCCACGUGUAGCAGUGAAAUGCGUAGAUAUGUGGAAGAACACCGAUGGCGAAGGCAGCCUCCUGGGACAUAACUGACGCUCAGGCACGAAAGCGUGGGGAGCAAACA
This 207-nucleotide ribosomal RNA is filed under the name uncultured bacterium. RNAcentral describes it as "partial 16S ribosomal RNA". It matches the Rfam family "Bacterial small subunit ribosomal RNA", at positions 568 to 774 of the family's 1533-position model. The record is from RNAcentral.